RNAcentral lists this ribosomal RNA (235 nucleotides) under uncultured bacterium. Its description in RNAcentral is "partial 16S ribosomal RNA". It matches the Rfam family "Bacterial small subunit ribosomal RNA", at positions 57 to 305 of the family's 1533-position model. The record is from RNAcentral.
GCAAGUCGAGCGGUAGAGUUUCUAGCUUGCUAGAGACUUGAGAGCGGCGAACGGGUGAGUAACGUGUUGGUAUCUGCCCCCCAGUCAGGGAUAGCCCAGGGAAACCUGGCUUAAUACCGGAUAGCUGGCAACAGUAAAGAUUUAUUGCUGGGGGAGGAGCCUACAUUCUAUCAGCUUGUUGGUGAGGUAAUAGCUCACCAAGGCUAUGACGGAUAGCUGGUCUGAGAGGAUGACC